Molecule: ribosomal RNA, 497 nt
Filed under: uncultured bacterium
Lineage: Bacteria
Description: partial 16S ribosomal RNA
Rfam family: Bacterial small subunit ribosomal RNA
Source: RNAcentral
GAUGAACGCUGGCGGCGUGCCUAAUACAUGCAAGUCGAGCGAACGGACGAGAAGCUUGCUUCUCUGAUGUUAGCGGCGGACGGGCGAGUAACACGUGGAUAACCUACCUAUAAGACUGGGAUAACUUCGGGAAACCGGAGCUAAUACCGGAUGAUAUUUUGAACCGCAUGGUUCAAAAGUGAAAGACGGUCUUGCUGUCACUUAUAGAUGGAUCCGCGCUGCAUUAGCUAGUUGGUAAGGUAACGGCUUACCAAGGCAACGAUGCAUAGCCGACCUGAGAGGGUGAUCGGCCACACUGGAACUGAGACACGGUCCAGACUCCUACGGGAGGCAGCAGUAGGGAAUCUUCCGCAAUGGGCGAAAGCCUGACGGAGCAACGCCGCGUGAGUGAUGAAGGUCUUCGGAUCGUAAAACUCUGUUAUUAGGGAAGAACAUAUGUGUAAGUAACUGUGAACAUCUUGACGGUACCUAAUCAGAAAGCCACGGCUAACUACGUG